GACUCCUACGGGAGGCAGCAGUGGGGAAUAUUGCACAAUGGGCGCAAGCCUGAUGCAGCAACGCCGCGUGAGGGAUGACGGCCUUCGGGUUGUAAACCUCUUUUGUCAGGGAAGAAGCGAAAGUGACGGUACCUGGAGAAAAAGCACCGGCUAACUACGUGCCAGCAGCCGCGGUAAUACGUAGGGUGCAAGCGUUGUCCGGAAUUAUUGGGCGUAAAGAGCUCGUAGGCGGCUUGUCGCGUCUGCUGUGAAAACCCGAGGCUCAACCUCGGGCCUGCAGUGGGUACGGGCAAGCUAGAGUGCGGUAGGGGAGAUUGGAAUUCCUGGUGUAGCGGUGGAAUGCGCAGAUAUCAGGAGGAACACCGAUGGCGAAGGCAGAUCUCUGGGCCGUAACUGACGCUGAGGAGCGAAAGCAUGGGGAGCGAACAGGAUUAGAUACCCUGGUAGUCCAUGCCGUAAACGUUGGGAACUAGAUGUAGGGCCUGUUCCACGGGUUCUGUGUCGUAGCUAACGCAUUAAGUUCCCCGCCUGGGGAGUACGGCCGCAAGGCUAAAACUCAAAGGAAUUGACGGGGGCCCGCACAAGCGGCGGAGCAUGCGGAUUAAUUCGAUGCAACGCGAAGAACCUUACCAAGGCUUGACAUAUAGAAGAACACUGCAGAGAUGCAGGACUCUUUGGACACUUCUAUACAGGUGGUGCAUGGUUGUCGUCAGCUCGUGUCGUGAGAUGUUCGGUUAAGUCCGGCAACGAGCGCAACCCUCGUCCUAUGUUGCCAGCACGUUAUGGUGGGAACUCAUGGGAUACUGCCGUGGUCAACACGGAGGAAGGUGGGGAUGACGUCAAAUCAUCAUGCCCCUUAUGUCUUGGGCUUCACGCAUGCUACAAUGGCCGAUACAAAGGGCUGCGAUACCGCGAGGUGGAGCGAAUCCCAAAAAGUCGGUCUCAGUUCGGAUUGGGGUCUGCAACUCGACCCCAUGAAGUCGGAGUCGCUAGUAAUCGCAGAUCAGCAACGCUGCGGUGAAUACGUUCCCGGGCCUUGUACACACCGCCCGUCAAGUCAUGAAAGUCGGUAACACCCGAAGCCGGUGGCCUAACCCCUUGUGGGAGGGAGCUGUCGAAGGUGGGACUGGUGAUUAGGACUAAGUCGUAACAAGGUAACCG
RNAcentral lists this ribosomal RNA (1161 nucleotides) under Leucobacter celer subsp. astrifaciens. RNAcentral describes it as "16S ribosomal RNA". It matches the Rfam family "Bacterial small subunit ribosomal RNA", at positions 334 to 1502 of the family's 1533-position model. Lineage: Bacteria; Bacillati; Actinomycetota; Actinomycetes; Micrococcales; Microbacteriaceae. The record is from RNAcentral.